UCUUAAGGGCAUUCGGUGGAUGCCUUGGCGACAAGAGGCGAUGAAGGACGUGAUACGCUGCGAUAAGCGUCGGGGAGCUGCGAAUAAGCUUUGAUCCGGCGAUUUCCGAAUGGGGAAACCCACUCCGUAUGGAGUACCCGCAAGGGAGCAAACCCGGGGAACUGAAACAUCUAAGUACCCGGAGGAAAGGACAUCAACCGAGACUCCGCUAGUAGUGGCGAGCGAACGCGGACCAGGCCAGUGGCUAUAGGAUAAGAACCGGAACCGUCUGGAAAGUCGGGCCUUAGUGGGUGACAGCCCCUUACGGGUAGAAAUUCUUAUAGUCCUUGAGUAGGGCGGGACACGUGAAAUCCUGUCUGAACAUGGGGGGACCACCCUCCAAGCCUAAGUACUCCUUGUCGACCGAUAGCGAACAAGUACCGUGAGGGAAAGGUGAAAAGCACCCCGACGAGGGGAGUGAAACAGAUCCUGAAACCGGAUGCCUACAAACAGUUGGAGGGCGCAAGCCUGACAGCGUACCUUUUGUAUAAUGGGUCAGCGACUUAAUUUAACGAGCAAGCUUAAGCCGAUAGGUGUAGGCGUAGCGAAAGCGAGUCUGAACAGGGCGUUUUAGUUCGUUGGAUUAGACCCGAAACCGAGUGAUCUAGCCAUGGCCAGGUUGAAGGUGCGGUAACACGCACUGGAGGACCGAACCCACGCCUGUUGAAAAAGUCGGGGAUGAGCUGUGGCUAGGGGUGAAAGGCCAAUCAAACUCGGAAAUAGCUGGUUCUCCGCGAAAUCUAUUUAGGUAGAGCGUCGGAUGAAUACUCUCGGGGGUAGAGCACUGGAUGGGCUAUGGGGGCUUACCGCCUUACUGAUCCUAACCAAACUCCGAAUACCGAGAAGUACUAUCCGGCAGACACACAGUGGGUGCUAACGUCCAUUGUGGAGAGGGAAACAACCCUGACCGCCAGUUAAGGUCCCUAAGUUAUGGCUAAGUGGGAAAGGAUGUAGGACUCCCAAAACAACCAGGAUGUUGGCUUAGAAGCAGCCAUCAUUUAAAGAAAGCGUAACAGCUCACUGGUCUAAAUAAGGGGUCCCGCGCCGAAAAUGUACCGGGGCUCAAGCCAUACACCGAAACUGCGGGUGCAUCUUAUGAUGCGCGGUAGCGGAGCGUUCUGUAAGUCUGCGAAGGGAUACCUGUGAGGGGUCCUGGAGAUAUCAGAAGUGCGAAUGCUGACAUGAGUAACGAUAAAGCGGGUGAGAGACCCGCUCGCCGAAAGUCCAAGGGUUCCUGCGCAACGCUAAUCGGCGCAGGGUUAGCCGGCCCCUAAGGCGAGGCCGAAAGGCGUAGUCGAUGGGAAUGCAGUUAAUAUUCUGCAGCUUGGUGGUAGU
RNAcentral lists this ribosomal RNA (1374 nucleotides) under Roseibium album. RNAcentral describes it as "bacterial LSU rRNA". It matches the Rfam family "Bacterial large subunit ribosomal RNA", at positions 1 to 1455 of the family's 2925-position model. The record is from RNAcentral. Lineage: Bacteria; Pseudomonadati; Pseudomonadota; Alphaproteobacteria; Hyphomicrobiales; Stappiaceae.